AACGCACAUUGCGCCCCUUGGUAUUCCGGGGGGCAUGCCUGUUCGAGCGUCAUUAUAACCCUCAAGCCUAGCUUGGUGUUGGAGCAUGCUAUCUAGCAGCUCUUAAAAUCAGUGGCAGUGCCCUUCGGCUCUAAGCGUAGUAAUUCUUCUCGCUAUAGAACCCGGAUGGUACGCGCCAGAACCCCCAACUUUCUAUGGUUGACCUCGGAUCAGGUAGGGAUACCCGCUGAACUUAA
Molecule: unclassified non-coding RNA, 236 nt
Filed under: uncultured Cistella
Lineage: Eukaryota; Fungi; Ascomycota; Leotiomycetes; Helotiales; Hyaloscyphaceae
Description: sequence contains ITS2
Source: RNAcentral